CACAAUGUCGGGGUCGAAAAUUUAUCUUCUGUUUCACAUCAUAAAAUAAACAACGGCCAGUUGGCAGCGCGCGAGUCGACGGGCAUACCAGCCGAAGGAAACGUGACAUAGCUAACGUUAUUUGCAUCCGCUAUCUUCGCUACUACGAAAUGUCGCUGUUCGAACGGAAGAUGGUUCCUUGUCUCUGGUAAAAUCCAACCUUCCGCAUCUUCUUCAAACAAUCGAAUCAGCCGGAACAAACAUGAGGUCUCCGAGUUUAUGCUAUAGUUUCCAUAGAAACAAUCGUGGAGAGAGGGCGAGAUAAAGCUGGCGUUCCUUAAUCGGUCCACGGAAAGUACGUGCAGACUCGUCGGUUUAAAAAACGCUACUAGGGUAUCAAAGACUGUAUUCCACUGGUCAAUAACGAAACUGUGCAUCCGUCUUAAUCGCAAUCAACGAUUUCAGCCCGAUGCAGCGCGAACUGCACGAAACUUCGCAGUUGCGAUCGACGAGACCGUGCUGCCCGCAAAACCGAUCGCGCAAAAUAUUUUUCUUGCCUCUUAAAAUCUCUGCAAAACAACAUUCGGCCAGACGGGGCUUGUUUACAAGCGGCGAACUGCAAUGCAGCGGGAAGCUGAAUAAAUAAAAACAUGUUUGUCCAAUGUUUUACACGAGGCUGUACGCGCCGAUUCUCGAAACCAAUUUGCAGCAUCGAGAUUUCUCGCUGAAUUUAAUUUCAUGACCGAUCAUUCUCCGAUGACUUCGAUGUAAAAUCUGUACCUAUCGGAGGAAAAACAUUGCAAGGCGCUCAGAGAAGUAUCGAAGCGAGGAUUUUUUAUAUUGCUUUUGCAUUAACCAGUUAUCCGGUUUCGACGAAUGUAUUCGCCACGAAGUGAUGGUAACAUUUUCUGUUAGAAACAGCUAACUGGUUAAAUUGAGCAGAUAAAAUUAAGUUAGCAAGAUAAAAUUGAAAAACAAAAUAGUCGUUCCAUAACAAUUUAAUUCUAUAUUAUAACAGAUACAUUUACACUUUUCAGAGAGAUUGCAAUAGCUAACCGUUGUUAAUUACAUAAUUAUGUAGAGAGUAGGACCAAUUUUCUCAAUUUUUAAACCCAGACGUUUUCGAUUUAAACAAACGCAAUGAAUAUCAGACAAACAAUUCAUCACCCAUUAGCUGUACUCUUAGUUUGCUAUUUUCUUUUUAAAAUUCAUUUUCAUAUAUCCUCGACACUUUUAAAUACAGUUAUUACAUUUUAAGCGUUUACUGACAGCUAAAUGUUUAAAUUAAAAAAAAGUACCAGUAAGUUAGUGCUAAGUUAUGCAUCUCAACAAAAUGUCGAGUUCUAUAUUUAUAAAUUUUCACUGAGAUUGCAAAGAUGCAGCCAAGAGGAAUCAUUCAAUUUUAUUUCUGUGAACAAAUACAUUCUUUUGGCAUCUGUAAAAUAAUGUAAAUUAGCCACUUUUACUAGUCCACAGGUGUAAUGCUAUUAUAACUAUUUCCAAAUGAAGUCUUGAAAGUUUUUUAAAAUACAUUCACUUGCAGUAGGUAGAAAAAAGUUUUCGUACAAAUGGGCCAAACGAUCUGAAUCUAAAAGGAUUAUCUUCCAAAAUUGCAAUUCGUUGGUACGAUGAAAAGAUUAAAAACAUGAUGAUUCUUCAA
Molecule: long non-coding RNA, 1639 nt
Organism: Megalopta genalis
Lineage: Eukaryota; Metazoa; Arthropoda; Insecta; Hymenoptera; Halictidae
Source: RefSeq, a predicted model, not a curated record